CAAACCCAGUAAAAACAUCAUGAAUAAUGAUACAGUGUUCUAAUGAAUCCUGUAUCAACAGCACACAAAAAGGCUCACCCUUGAAAGCUGAAGAGUCUGUGAAUUUCUUUUGCCUGUAAUAGAAUCUAUCUCAGAGACAAUUCUACCAUUAGAACAACCCCUUCUCCUUUGAAAUCUUGAAAAAGGAUUUUUCUCAUCUUUUUUUUUUUUUUAAGCUUCUCUUGGGGUAAAUUGUGAAGCUGGUCAUAUAAGACUGAAAAACCUUGUAUGAUCAGUCAGAAAAAAAAAAAAUAUCACUAUGUCCACUCUGUGACAGAUUUUGGAAUGGUGACUCACGUUCCCUGCUGCUUCUUCCCACCCACUCCUUUCACCUCUUUGCCCUAGAGAUGACUACAUGCAAUUACCACCAAGAAGUUAAAGCAGCCUACUGUGGAUGGCUGAGGGUAGUAACUAUUUCAUCUGGCAGAAAAUAGUUCAUUGGGUGUUAUGGCACCAAUCAAAGCAGUUGUCUCUUGACUCUGCUGACAGUAUUUCAUAGUGCUCUAAGUGGGGAAAUGAGAGAAAGAAACCAACUUGAGGAACAGAAUAAUAAGACUAAAGAUCAGGGAAUAUAGAUAACAUACAAAGUAAAAUAAAUUAACAACUCUGGCAAGAAAGAGCACAUCUUGUGUUCUAUGAAAAAGAAACUGACUUUUUCUUUAAAGUAUCAAAUUUUUAGUAAUGGGCACAGGAAGUUUCUUUUAACCAAAUCAAGGUCGAGAAGGGGCUUACUGAUAAUGAGGUGGCCCUCAGACUGCCUCGUUUCUGAGCAACUGUUCUAUUUUCUUAAGUCUGCACCUGUUCUGUGGUGGUUACUCAAGACUUCCACAUCAUUUAUCCAAGAAAUACUUUUUGUCUUGUAUCAAGAUGAUGGAGUUGUGAAUGAAGUCUAUUACAUCUUUUGUGCUGUGUAUUUUAUUCUGCAUUAAUAUGAAAAGCUUUGGAAUAGUCUUUCAAGCAUUUAAUGACCAAAAAAAAUAGUCUACAUGCAAUGCAAAUUACUUAUCAGCUAAUCAGAUCAUUUAAUGAAAGACUUCUAAGAAUUCUUUUAGGGAUUUUUGACAUUUACUGUCAUACUUAAUACCUUAUCAAGGACUUUUUUCCAAGUCAUCUAAUGAGGGUAUAUUGUUAAAUAUAUUAGACUCCAAGUUUUUAAUCUUAAAAAUGCCUGAAAUAAAUGUUUUAUUUUGUAACUAGGCAAGGUUUCUGCCAUUUCUUCAAUACUUUAAGUCAAAGCUGGAUUAGUUUUCUCAUAUAAUAUUUCGCUAAGAGGGGGGAGGAUAAACUACUGUGUUUUAAAAUUGUAUCCCAUUUCAGUUUCUGGAUUUUCCCCACUGUUCUGCCAUGGCUGAAGCACUUGAGUAUCAGCAGAGGCUGUGAUGGCCCACAGUAACCCUCACCAGGCUUUCUGUCCUCCCAGCAGCAGUGCAGGCAGCACUGCGAUCUUUAAGAAGCUCCGCAACACCUCCCCAAAAAACAGUUUUGAGAGAAGGUGUAUUUAACAUCAAGCCUUUCUUCAAGGCAAGUGAUAACCCCCUGCACAAAAGCUUAAAAAAGAUAUGUUAAAGGGUUACCACUGUUUUCCAUGACCAUGACUGAUUGGCAACCUUGACGAGUUUUAGAAAACACAUCUAUGAGGAACAAUUGAAGCAACUGAGGAUGGUAAAUCCAAAGCAAAGACCAGUGAGGGAAGUGACCAUAUUCUGGCUAUGGUGCCUGUACAGGGGAAGUGAAUAAACCUUUCGUCCCAUUUCCUAAAUACUUUCUAAUUGUGACUGUGUGCAAGAAAGUGGUGGAAACUGCAACUUCAGAAGGCUGAAAACCCAUUUCUAACAGUCAUGAAGCAAGAAUAAAUGUACUAACCAUGGAAGGAAACUUACCUGCUCCCAUUUCAUUUCCAACCCUUGGAAUAAUAUCAUCAUCUUGACAGUCUGAUCUCCAUUAUUUGGUUUUACAACCUUGAAUUUGCUACCUCCAGAGCAGAAGCUUCUCAGGUGGGAGCCCCUGGAAGCUGUGUUGUAUUACUGAGCCCCUUAUCCUGUGAGCCCAACAUUCACUACAACAGAGGAGGCCCUGCAAGGCCUCAUGUUCCCUAGCACCAGUCUGGUGACAAAUCAGGCUGUAGCACUCAAGUGUGCUGGCCCACGUUGCCUUAGGUGCUCCAUUUUUGCUCACUGGACCUCCUUUCACUGAAGGAGUUUACAGAAUUCAGCCGUCAGCCUUGAGAAGUGCUGAAGCAGAAAGCAACUGUUUCUUUGCUGCAACAUUAAUCACAUAUGUUCACUGAUAGUUUUUGGUGCAAGUAAACAGAGAUAGCCACCUGGUGGAGCUGACUGAGGAAGUUUGAUACAUUUAUUUGUAUAAAUAUAAAAGCAUACAUCCAUAAAAUAACUUGAUAGAUAAAAAUAGCAACUAAAAGAUUUCAUGACAAACCAAAUGAGAUGUUUGAUAUACCUUGAAGUUGCUCUUUUUCCCUUACUUGCAGAGU
Long non-coding RNA from Vidua chalybeata, 2527 nucleotides. RefSeq lists it as uncharacterized. The transcript has 4 exons. NCBI's taxonomy places the organism in Eukaryota, Metazoa, Chordata, Aves, Passeriformes, Viduidae. The record is from RefSeq and is a predicted model, not a curated record.